RNAcentral lists this ribosomal RNA (447 nucleotides) under uncultured bacterium. RNAcentral describes it as "partial 16S ribosomal RNA". It matches the Rfam family "Bacterial small subunit ribosomal RNA", at positions 328 to 792 of the family's 1533-position model. The record is from RNAcentral.
ACGCCAGACUCCUACGGGAGGCAGCAGUGGGGGAUAUUGCACAAUGGGGGGAACCCUGAUGCAGCGACGCCGCGUGAAGGAAGAAGUAUCUCGGUAUGUAAACUUCUAUCAGCAGGGAAGAAAAUGACGGUACCUGACUAAGAAGCCCCGGCUAACUACGUGCCAGCAGCCGCGGUAAUACGUAGGGGGCAAGCGUUAUCCGGAUUUACUGGGUGUAAAGGGGGCGCAGACGGCAGCGCAAGCCAGGAGUGAAAGCCCGGGGCCCAACCCCGGGACUGCUCUUGGAACUGCGCGGCUGGAGUGCAGGAGGGGCAGGCGGAAUUCCUGGUGUAGCGGUGAAAUGCGUAGAUAUCAGGAGGAACACCGGUGGCGAAGGCGGCCUGCUGGACUGCGACUGACGUUGAGGCCCGAAAGCGUGGGGAGCAAACAGGAUUAGAUACCCCAGUA